RNAcentral lists this ribosomal RNA (191 nucleotides) under uncultured bacterium. Its description in RNAcentral is "partial 16S ribosomal RNA". It matches the Rfam family "Bacterial small subunit ribosomal RNA", at positions 335 to 524 of the family's 1533-position model. The record is from RNAcentral.
ACUCCUACGGAAGGCAGCAGUGGGGAAUUUUGCGCAAUGGGCGAAAGCCUGACGCAGCAACGCCGCGUGUGUGACGAAGGCCCUAGGGUUGUAAAGCACUGUGGGAGGGGAAGAAAAACCGGAGUGUAUCCGGUCUUGACGGUACCCUGUUAGAAAGCACCGGCUAACUACGUGCCAGCAGCCGCGGUAAU